GCUGGGCAUGGUGGCACGUGCCUGUAGUCCCAGCUAUUUGGGAGGCUGAGGUGGGAGGUUCAGUCCAGGAGUUCUGAGCUAUGUUGAUCAGGGGUCCACACAAAGUUCGGCAUCAAUAUGGUGACCUCCUGGGAGCAGGGAACCACUAGGUUGCCCAAGGAGUGGUGAUCUGGCCCAGGUCGGAAAUGGAGCAGGUCAAAACUACCAUGCUGAUCAGUAGUGGGAUCAUGCCUGUGAAUAGCCACUGCACUCCAGCCCGGCAGCAUAGCAAGACCAUGUCUCU
RNAcentral lists this signal recognition particle RNA (283 nucleotides) under Saimiri boliviensis boliviensis (Bolivian squirrel monkey). RNAcentral's name for it is "Metazoan signal recognition particle RNA (ENSSBOG00000008677.1)". It matches the Rfam family "Metazoan signal recognition particle RNA". Rfam says of the family: The signal recognition particle (SRP) is a universally conserved ribonucleoprotein. It is involved in the co-translational targeting of proteins to membranes. Lineage: Eukaryota; Metazoa; Chordata; Mammalia; Primates; Cebidae. The record is from RNAcentral.